This 467-nucleotide ribosomal RNA is filed under the name uncultured bacterium. RNAcentral's name for it is "partial 16S ribosomal RNA". It matches the Rfam family "Bacterial small subunit ribosomal RNA", at positions 29 to 507 of the family's 1533-position model. The record is from RNAcentral.
ACGCACGCUGGCGGCGUGCUUCACCCCUGCAAGUCGCACGGAAAGGCCCUGCUUUUGUGGGGUGCUCGAGUGGCGAACGGGUGAGUAACACGUGAGUAACCUGCCCUUGACUUUGGGAUAACUUCAGGAAACUGGGGCUAAUACCGGAUAGGAGCUCCUGCUGCAUGGUGGGGGUUGGAAAGUUUCGGCGGCUGGGGAUGGACUCGCGGCUUAUCAGCUUGUUGGUGGGGUAGUGGCUUACCAAGGCUUUGACGGGUAGCCGGCCUGAGAGGGUGACCGGCCACAUUGGGACUGAGAUACGGCCCAGACUCCUACGGGAGGCAGCAGUGGGGAAUAUUGCACAAUGGGCGGAAGCCUGAUGCAGCAACGCCGCGUGCGGGAUGACGGCCUUCGGGUUGUAAACCGCUUUCGCCUGUGACGAAGCGUGAGUGACGGUAAUGGGUAAAGAAGCACCGGCUAACUACGUG